CCUUAUAAAGCUGCUUGGCUGGUGUGGUGGCUCAUGCCUGUAAUCCCAGCACUUUGGGAGGUUGAGGUGGGAGGGUUGCUUGAGGUCAGGAGUUCAAAACCAGCCUUGGCAAUAUUGCAAGACCCCUGUCUCUACAAAAAAUAAAAUAAAAAUUAGCUGGGCAUGUGGGUGAAUACCUGUAGUGCUAGCUACUUGGGAGGAUCUCUUGAGCACAGGAGUUUGAGGCUGCAGUGUACUGUAACUAUACCACUGCACUCUAGUUGAGAUGACAGAGGGAGACCCUGUUUCUUAAAAAAGAAAAGAAAAAGCUGCCUUUGGAAACUAAUCCUACUUUUCUGACCUCUUCUGAUAGGUCUACUGUAAAAAACCAAAGUCAACUUUGAAUAAACUUGACAAGCUGAAGGAGAA
Long non-coding RNA from Homo sapiens (human), 408 nucleotides. NCBI's taxonomy places the organism in Eukaryota, Metazoa, Chordata, Mammalia, Primates, Hominidae. The record is from Ensembl.